This 675-nucleotide ribosomal RNA is filed under the name uncultured Bacteroidales bacterium. RNAcentral's name for it is "bacterial SSU rRNA". It matches the Rfam family "Bacterial small subunit ribosomal RNA", at positions 66 to 731 of the family's 1533-position model. Lineage: Bacteria; Pseudomonadati; Bacteroidota; Bacteroidia; Bacteroidales. The record is from RNAcentral.
GGGGCAGCAUGGUCUUAGCUUGCUAAGACUGAUGGCGACCGGCGCACGGGUGAGUAACACGUAUCCAACCUGCCGUCUACUCUUGGACAGCCUUCUGAAAGGAAGAUUAAUACAAGAUGGCAUCAUGAGUCCGCAUGUUCACAUGAUUAAAGGUAUUCCGGUAGACGAUGGGGAUGCGUUCCAUUAGAUAGUAGGCGGGGUAACGGCCCACCUAGUCUUCGAUGGAUAGGGGUUCUGAGAGGAAGGUCCCCCACAUUGGAACUGAGACACGGUCCAAACUCCUACGGGAGGCAGCAGUGAGGAAUAUUGGUCAAUGGGCGAGAGCCUGAACCAGCCAAGUAGCGUGAAGGAUGACUGCCCUAUGGGUUGUAAACUUCUUUUAUAAAGGAAUAAAGUCGGGUAUGUAUACCCGUUUGCAUGUACUUUAUGAAUAAGGAUCGGCUAACUCCGUGCCAGCAGCCGCGGUAAUACGGAGGAUCCGAGCGUUAUCCGGAUUUAUUGGGUUUAAAGGGAGCGUAGAUGGAUGUUUAAGUCAGUUGUGAAAGUUUGCGGCUCAACCGUAAAAUUGCAGUUGAUACUGGAUAUCUUGAGUGCAGUUGAGGCAGGCGGAAUUCGUGGUGUAGCGGUGAAAUGCUUAGAUAUCACGAAGACUCCGAUUGCGAAGGCAGCCUGCUA